GAGGGUGACAAUCCCGUGCUUUACACGACGACCGGUGCUAUGUGAUACGUUCUCUACGAGUCGAGUUGUUUGGGAAUGCAGCUCAAAACGGGUGGUAAACUCCAUCUAAAGCUAAUAUUGGUGGGAGACCGAUAGCGAACAAGUACCGUGAGGGAAAGAUGAAAAGCACUUUGGAAAGAGAGUUAAACAGUAUGUGAAAUUGUUGAAAGGGAAACGAUUGA
RNAcentral lists this ribosomal RNA (221 nucleotides) under Kwoniella mangrovensis. RNAcentral describes it as "partial large subunit ribosomal RNA". It matches the Rfam family "Eukaryotic large subunit ribosomal RNA", at positions 208 to 426 of the family's 3401-position model. Lineage: Eukaryota; Fungi; Basidiomycota; Tremellomycetes; Tremellales; Cryptococcaceae. The record is from RNAcentral.